This 450-nucleotide ribosomal RNA is filed under the name uncultured bacterium. RNAcentral describes it as "partial 16S ribosomal RNA". It matches the Rfam family "Bacterial small subunit ribosomal RNA", at positions 354 to 796 of the family's 1533-position model. The record is from RNAcentral.
GUGGGGAAUCUUCCGCAAUGGACGAAAGUCUGACGGAGCAACGCCGCGUGAGUGAUGAAGGUCUUCGGAUUGUAAAGCUCUGUUAAUCGGGACGAAAGAGCCUAGUGUGAAUAAUGCUAGGAAGUGACGGUACCGGAAUAGAAAGCCACAGCUAACUACGUGCCAGCAGCCGCGGUAAUACGUAGGUGGCAAGCGUUGUCCGGAAUUAUUGGGCGUAAAGCGCGCGCAGGCGGAUCUGCCAGUCUGUCUUAAAAGUUCGGGGCUUAACCCCGUGAUGGGAUGGAAACUACAGAUCUAGAGUAUCGGAGAGGAAAGUGGAAUUCCUAGUGUAGCGGUGAAAUGCGUAGAUAUUAGGAAGAACACCAGUGGCGAAGGCGACUUUCUGGACGAAAACUGACGCUGAGGCGCGAAAGCCAGGGGAGCGAACGGGAUUAGAUACCCUGGUAGUCC